RNAcentral lists this ribosomal RNA (250 nucleotides) under uncultured bacterium. Its description in RNAcentral is "partial 16S ribosomal RNA". It matches the Rfam family "Bacterial small subunit ribosomal RNA", at positions 524 to 773 of the family's 1533-position model. The record is from RNAcentral.
UACAGAGGCGGCAAGCGUUGUUCGGAAUUAUUGGGCGUAAAGAGCACGUAGGCGGCUGUGUAAGUCGGUUGUGAAAGCCUUCCGCUCAACGGAAGAACGGCAUCCGAUACUGCAUGGCUUGAGUGUGGGAGGGGAGAGUGGAACUUCUGGUGGAGCGGUGAAAUGCGUAGAUAUCAAGAGGAAUACCGGUGGCGAAGGCGGUCAUCUGGCCCGAUACUGACGCUCAGGUGCGAAGGCCGGGGGAGCAAAC